AAGUCCAUUGCAUCAUUAACUUAAUCACAACACAACAUCCAUUCUCUCUCAAGCUCUCUCACUCUAGGAGAACCUCCCAAAUCCUCUCAAACCCCAAAAAUUUCCAGGAUUCAGAUAGCCAUUCCUCAGCCCGAUUCAAGGCCAAAAUUGUCAGAAAACUCAACCGUUUUCCGGCGACCGCCAUCCAACUCGAACCAAACUUGACCAAACUUCAUAUCCCACAUGUAUUCGACCCCCUGAGUCCAUUUCCGAGCUUAGUUUUUCAGUUUGAAGCCUCUAGCGGCCCGCUUUGCUCCAGCACAGAAUCGGUCUCCUAGGUGCUCCUCGGGACCUAGUCUGGUUCAUUCAACGUUUCUUCCUUCCCACGACUAUGGCGAGUCGUGCCAUCACUUUCUAGGGGUUCCUUACAACCCUCACUCUCUCCCGUGACGAAGUGGUCACGGCCCGAGAGCCGUUCAACCGUGCACCACCGCCAUUUCCCUCCUUUCUCCCUUCACAGAUUUUUCCAGUUUUUAACCAGUUUUCUUUGCAUCUUCCAGGAAAAUAUACACAUGCAAUCCUCACAAAACCACCACAAGCGUGAUCCUCAGUCAGUUAGGAGUCCAAUGCCACCGAUCUUGCAUCAAAAGACCACCGGGAGCUUCCUGUAGACCCGUUUCUUCAUCAGGCGUGAUCCUCAGUCAGUUAGGAGUCCAAUGCCACCGAUCUUGCAUCGAAAGACCACCGGGAGCCUCCUGUAGACCCGUUUCUUCAUCGGGUGCCAGUCGGGUCUGCUUCGCCCUGACUGGGUCUGUCAUUUUUUACUGAUCCGACUUUGCUUUUGAUUCCCGGAAAAUAUACGGUUGCAAUCUUCACAAAACCAGCGCAGGCGCGAUCCUUAGUCUCUUGGGAAUCCAAAGCAACCAACCCCGCAUGAAAAGGCCACCCCGAUCAACCGGUACAUCCCCGACAAGCCGAACUGCCAGUCGGGUCUGCCGCCGACCCGAUUUCACUGAUUCGGGUCUGUUCGUUCCAGGGGCAGAAUCGACUUCCCGAACCCUUUUUCCGACUUUCCUCGACUUUUCCCGCAUCCUGGGGUUAGGUAUAACCAUUAUCGACUUAGAGAAGUUAGGACUUUUACGUUUUAUUUGUAUUUGUGGGGCGAUAAGGCGGUCCAUGAUCGAUUUGCAUGCAAAUUAAUGUUUUUAAGUGUUUUUACAUCGUAUUAUACACGUCUUCAUCGUAUAUUGUGUUAGCAUGUCGAGAAAAGGUUUGAAUCGGAGUCGAGGAAACCUCAUUGGCUCGGGCAAGCCAAGGGAGCCCCUCGGCCUCAUCUCAAGAGAGGUGGCCGAGAGCUCCUCUUGACUCUCCCGGGGCCGUACGUGGUUUCCUUGCUCCAAUUUAAGUCGUUUCCCGAGUUUUUUUUUUACAUUUUCCCGCUUCCAUGAGUUGGUGCCGUUUUAUCGAUUUCCUUAAAUAUCAUGUUUGUAUUUGCUUGUAUGCUCGAUUGCGUUCCUAAGAUCACGGCGGCAUCAACUUUAUAAAAUGUGCGUUAUUAUCGUGUUUGAUGUCUUAUGCAUGCAAGAAACGGUCGAAACCGAUUCUA
Molecule: non-coding RNA, 1585 nt
Organism: Punica granatum (pomegranate)
Lineage: Eukaryota; Viridiplantae; Streptophyta; Magnoliopsida; Myrtales; Lythraceae
Source: RefSeq, a predicted model, not a curated record